UACGUAGGAUGCAAGCGUUGUUCGGAAUUACUGGGCGUAAAGAGUACGUAGGCGGUUUGAUAAGUCUGAAAUUAAAGACUGAGGCUUAACCUCAGGAAUGUAUCGGAAACUGUCAGACUAGAGGACAAUAGAGGAAGUCGGAAUUCUCAGUGUAGCGGUGAAAUUCGUAGAUAUUCGCAAGAACACCAGUGGCGAAGGCGGCUGACUGGUCCGGUACUGACGCUGAGGUGCGAAAGCGUGGGGAGCAAACAGG
RNAcentral lists this ribosomal RNA (253 nucleotides) under uncultured bacterium. RNAcentral's name for it is "partial 16S ribosomal RNA". It matches the Rfam family "Bacterial small subunit ribosomal RNA", at positions 524 to 776 of the family's 1533-position model. The record is from RNAcentral.